UCGAUGAAGAACGCAGCGAAAAGCGAUAUGUAAUGUGAAUUGCAGAUCUACAGUGAAUCAUCGAAUCUUUGAACGCACCUUGCGCUCCUCGGUGUUCCGAGGAGCAUGCCUGUUUGAGUGUCAGUA
This 126-nucleotide ribosomal RNA is filed under the name Rhizopogon villosulus. RNAcentral describes it as "partial 5.8S ribosomal RNA". It matches the Rfam family "5.8S ribosomal RNA", at positions 33 to 154 of the family's 154-position model. Rfam says of the family: 5.8S ribosomal RNA (5.8S rRNA) is a component of the large subunit of the eukaryotic ribosome. Lineage: Eukaryota; Fungi; Basidiomycota; Agaricomycetes; Boletales; Rhizopogonaceae. The record is from RNAcentral.